RNAcentral lists this ribosomal RNA (434 nucleotides) under uncultured Lachnospiraceae bacterium. RNAcentral describes it as "partial 16S ribosomal RNA". It matches the Rfam family "Bacterial small subunit ribosomal RNA", at positions 341 to 792 of the family's 1533-position model. Lineage: Bacteria; Bacillati; Bacillota; Clostridia; Lachnospirales; Lachnospiraceae. The record is from RNAcentral.
ACGGGAGGCAGCAGUAGGGAAUAUUGCACAAUGGGGGAAACCCUGAUGCAGCGACGCCGCGUGAGUGAAGAAGUAUUUCGGUAUGUAAAGCUCUAUCAGCAAGGAAGAAAAUGACGGUACUUGACUAAGAAGCCCCGGCUAACUACGUGCCAGCAGCCGCGGUAAUACGUAGGGGGCAAGCGUUAUCCGGAUUUACUGGGUGUAAAGGGAGCGUAGACGGCAUAGCAAGUCUGAAGUGAAAUGCAUGGGCUCAACCCAUGAACUGCUUUGGAAACUGUUAAGCUAGAGUGCAGGAGAGGUAAGUGGAAUUCCUAGUGUAGCGGUGAAAUGCGCAGAUAUUAGGAGGAACACCAGAGGCGAAGGCGGCUUACUGGACUGUAACUGACGUUGAGGCUCGAAAGCGUGGGGAGCAAACAGGAUUAGAUACCCUGGUA